CAUCCUCAAAACCUUCUUGGUUUCUUGACCAGGAAGGCUUUGGACUUUGGAGGCUUUUGCUGGCGUUCCUUCGUUGGAGCCAGCUCCUCUGAAAUGAAUUAGUGGGGUCUGCUUUGCUGAUCCUUGACGUGAUAAGAUGUUUUCUACGUCUUGGGUUUCGCAACGUUCCCGCUUCUAACCGUCUCAUAGAAGACAACGGUCAAGUGAUCGCCACUUGACCCACAAA
This 226-nucleotide unclassified non-coding RNA is filed under the name uncultured Gymnomyces. RNAcentral describes it as "sequence contains ITS2". Lineage: Eukaryota; Fungi; Basidiomycota; Agaricomycetes; Russulales; Russulaceae. The record is from RNAcentral.